AGGCACUGCAGUCAAUAAAAGUAAAUUAAUAACUAGAGACAACAAACCCUGUUCCUCUGACUGGCAUAAAGCAAUCCUGUGCUGAAGGAAGAAAAAAUGUCACCGUUUAUGAGGAGGCAGGUGACCUGAGCUUUGAGCACCUCACUGGAAGGCUCCCACACUCCUCAGAAGCUGCCCGUGUCGUAAAGCAGAAGAGAAGGAAUCCAUCUGAUUUCCAGCAGCAAUAUCCAAAUGUUAUGGCAAACUGGUCCCUGUAUGAGAGAACAAACAGCUCAUGUUCAUCUCACACCAAUUUUGAUUCCUUGAUGAGGCUGUGGGAGACUCCAAGGAGCAUUUUGUAAAGUGGCCAGUUGCUCCUCCAUAGGAAAUAAAACAUUGAAACAUACUGCUAUAAAGGAUAUGACAUCUCUCCCAAUGGAUUUAUUAAGAAGACCACAAGAGUAAAGAGUUAUAAAACCUGA
This is a long non-coding RNA of Corvus hawaiiensis (hawaiian crow), 461 nucleotides long. RefSeq lists it as uncharacterized. The record is from RefSeq and is a predicted model, not a curated record. The transcript is spliced from 2 exons. Lineage: Eukaryota; Metazoa; Chordata; Aves; Passeriformes; Corvidae.